Molecule: ribosomal RNA, 546 nt
Filed under: Triticum aestivum (bread wheat)
Lineage: Eukaryota; Viridiplantae; Streptophyta; Magnoliopsida; Poales; Poaceae
Description: partial small subunit ribosomal RNA
Source: RNAcentral
AUGAAUAUCCUGGCCUGGAACUGUCGAGGACUGGGGUUAGACUCGACAGUGGGCGAAUUACGAGACCUGAUACGGUCCUACAACCCAGCGAUGGUUUUUUUUUUGAGUGAGACAAAGAAGAAGGCGAGGGCGAUGGAAAGGCUCAAGUGGAGUUUGGGUUUCACUAGUGGUGUUGUUGUCGAUUGUGUGGGUCGAAGCGGUGGGUUGACACUAUGGUGGAGAGAUCAUAUUCAGGUCAAUGUGAGGCCGUGGAGCCAAUAUUUCAUCAACGCAGAGGUCACGUGUGAAGGGCAUAUCUGUAGAAUCACUGGAUUCUACGGAGAACCCCGAACGGAAUUACAGAAAAAAUCUUGGGAUGCAAUUAGAUACCUGAGAGGGCAGGAUAAUCUUCCAUGGAUGUGCCUAGGUGAUUUCAAUGAGGCCCUCUUUCAGACGGAUCAGAUUGGUGGUAACCCUAGAGGUUUCUUGCAGAUGGAAGAUUUCCGCGACUGUCUCGCCGACUGUGGACUGGCAGACUUGGGCUUCUCAGGCUAUCCGUACACGUGA